RNAcentral lists this ribosomal RNA (467 nucleotides) under uncultured bacterium. Its description in RNAcentral is "bacterial SSU rRNA". It matches the Rfam family "Bacterial small subunit ribosomal RNA", at positions 36 to 518 of the family's 1533-position model. The record is from RNAcentral.
CUGGCGGUGUGCCUCAUACAUGCAAGUCGAACGAUAAGGUUCCUUCGGGAAUACAUAAGUGGCGGACGGGUGAGUACAACAUAGAAAUCUGCCUUAAGCUGGGGGACAACAGAGGGAAACUCCUGCUAAUACCCCAUAUGAGCUUAGUUGAAAUACUAAUCUUGAAAGCUCCGGCGGCUUAAGAUGAGCCUGUGCCUGAUUAGCUAGUUGGUGGUGGUAAAUGGACUACCAAGGCGACGAUCAGUAGCUGGUUUGAGAGGAUGAUCAGCCACAAUGGGACUGAGACACGGCCCAUACUCCUACGGGAGGCAGCAGUAGGGAAUUUUGCGCAAUGGGGGGAAAAACCCCCUGACGCAGCAACACCGCGUGAAUGUUAAGCCCUUCGGGGUGUAAAGUUCUGUCAGUAGGGAAGAACAAAUGACUGUACCUACAAAGGAAGCACCGGCUAACUCCGUGCCAGCCGCGGC